GACAUUUCUUCUACCCUAUUACCAAAAAAUGUAUUAUUACAUGAUAAAUUGCUCCUCGCGUUUUUGCUUCAGGUCCACCCAAGUGAUUAAACAAUUGCCUGUUUACAGCACUCAUGAAAAUUCCUGUGGCCAGGCUAGAUCUACACAUUUUCAUACAUCCAAUCUGGCCUAAUUAGGAGAUUAAGAGCAGAAGUAAACAUUUACAUUACAUUUACUCUGACUUCAGCAAUCUGGAGCACACUGUGUAGUACCAGCCAGACUCAGCUCACAGACAGGUGCUGCCCUCAGUUCACAGACAGGCCACCACGCUCCUGGACCCAGAGGUCGGCAUGUGGUGCAGCUAGACGUCAGCAGAAGCUGCAGGGUCAGCAAAAAACAUCACAAAACAGUUAAUGUAAGAAGUGCAGGAAUGUGUAAGGGCGAGAGGUUCUGUGUAUUGUAUUGGGUGUGUGUGCUUGUGGGCGUAAGAAAAGAGGGAGGCCAGGAAGCUCUGAGGAACGGAGACCACAAACCUUAAGCCGUGCACACAAAUAUUGUAAAUAUUGCCUAUUCGCUUACUUCAAUAUAUGCCUUUUUUACAGUUUGUGUGGCAAAGCAGUUUUGACAGCUUUAGUCUCCUCGAAUGGAAUUACACACCCUUCAUGAGGCCUUUGCAGUUCUGAUUAAUAAACACUGCUGUGAGGUUGGACAACAGAAUGAAUAAGGGAAAGAUCUGAAGCAGCAAAGGAGAAGCUGUGCUAAUGAGCUAAUCACAAGAUGCUUGUCAAACCGGAGUCCUGAGCUUUGAACUACUGAGAAGGAGCAGAUACCGCUCCCGCUGAUGGGUUAAGGACCUUCUAUGGCCUUGUCCAGUUCUCCUAGAGUGACUGCCUGUCUCCUGAAGUCUCCUCUAUGCUCUCGAGAGCAUCUGGGCAGAACAGAAAUCAAAUGCGGAAAGCAGUGACAUAUGAAGUGAGGCCUGCGAGACUGAAAAAGAAUAUGUCCAGACCAAAUUGAUGUACAGCAUGUGGUCCAUUUGUGAAUCUUUUUGCCAUGGGCACUGUCGAGGCCUGAUGUUGGCCAAGUUGUUUUCCAGAUGUGUCUUCAGGUCCUGACUUAUGCAAGGCCACUCCUGACGUCAGUGCUUUUGGAGAGGAACCUGCACACAUUCCUGAGAUGAGUGGGGAUCCAGACCCAGCCCCUCUUCCCCUCCCCCAAACUCCCCCUGCCCUUCCUCUUGUAUCAGCUAUGACAGCG
This is a long non-coding RNA of Archocentrus centrarchus (flier cichlid), 1236 nucleotides long. RefSeq lists it as uncharacterized. The transcript is spliced from 5 exons. NCBI's taxonomy places the organism in Eukaryota, Metazoa, Chordata, Actinopteri, Cichliformes, Cichlidae. The record is from RefSeq and is a predicted model, not a curated record.